GAGAUGUUUCGCUGGAUGAAUGUCGAGGCUGUAUCAGAAACUCUACUCGUCAAAUCCUUCAAGCUUGUCCCAACCAAAAGGAGGUAAUCGGGUUUUAUGAUUCCUGCAUGUUACGAUACUCAAACAGAUCAAUUUUCAGUGUCCAGGAAACACAGCCUACUGUUCACAUGUGGAACACACAAAAUGCAUCAGAUGUCAAUCAGUUCAAUCAGGCACUGCAAGGGUUAUUAAGCAGACUUCGAAGCAAAGCUGCAUCAGGAAACUCUACACGAAAGUUUGCGACAGGAAAUGAGAGCGCAGGAUUUGAGACCAUAUUUGCACUUGUGCAGUGUACUCCUGAUUUAUCUCGUCAGAAUUGCUUCAAUUGCUUAACUGAUGCUUAUGGAAGCAUGCCUCAAUGUCCC
This 404-nucleotide unclassified non-coding RNA is filed under the name Hevea brasiliensis (rubber tree). Lineage: Eukaryota; Viridiplantae; Streptophyta; Magnoliopsida; Malpighiales; Euphorbiaceae. The record is from RNAcentral.